Cygnus olor (mute swan) is the source of this 2409-nucleotide RNA transcript. It is a transcript of the gene named sodium/potassium transporting ATPase interacting 4, with no coding region annotated. Lineage: Eukaryota; Metazoa; Chordata; Aves; Anseriformes; Anatidae. The transcript has 8 exons. The record is from RefSeq and is a predicted model, not a curated record.
GGGGGGGGGCUCGGGGGGCGCGUCCCAGCCCCGGCACCCGGCGGGACGGGAGCCUCCGGCGGGGCAUCGCCCUUUUAAGCAGUGGUCCCGUUGCCUCCCCCCCUCCCCGGCUCCUGGAGGGGCUCCGGCAGCCUCUGAGACCUCCGUCCGUCUGUCCGUCCGCCCGUCCGUCCGUCCCUCCUCCUCCUCCCCUCCCGCCCUGCCCGGCUGCCAGCGGCGGCUGCGCUCCGUGCUGCGGGCGGGGGCGCGGGGAGCCGCAGGGCGGCGGUGGGGCUCUCCCUGUCCCUCUGUCGCCGUGUCCCCGUGUCCCCGUGUCCCUGUCCGUGUGUCUGUCCCUCUCCCUCUGUCCCUGUCCCUGCCCCGGGGCCGCGCUCCGGGACCAUGGGAUGCUGCACCGGGCGCUGCACCCUGAUUUUCCUCUGCGCUCUGCAGCUGCUUGCUGCAUUAGAGAGGCAAGUGUUUGAUUUCCUGGGAUACCAGUGGGCCCCCAUCCUAGCCAACUUCCUCCACAUCAUCAUCGUUAUCCUUGGCCUGUUUGGCACUAUUCAAUACAGACCUCGCUACAUAGUGGUGUAUGCCAUCUGGACUGCAAUUUGGGUCACCUGGAACAUCUUCAUCAUCUGUUUUUACUUAGAAGUGGGAGGGCUCUCAAAGGACAGCGAACUCUUGACAUUUAACAUCUCCCGGCACCAGUCGUGGUGGAGUGAAAAUGGUCCCGGCUGUGUGAGGAAGGAGGCUUCAAUGUCUGGCAUCAAAGGACUGGAUAGCCAUUCGUACGUCUCGGUGAUAGGCUGUGCCCUGGAGUACCGGUACAUCGAGGUCAUGCACAGCUCCUUCCAGAUCCUGAUCGCGCUGGUGGGCUUUGUCUACGCCUGUUAUGUUGUUAGUGUUUUUACAGAAGAAGAAGACAGCUUUGAUUUCAUUGGUGGAUUUGAUCCAUUUCCUCUCUACCAUGUCAAUGAAAAACCCACCAACCUUUUGUUCAAGCAGACAUACCUGUAGACUUCCCCCCCUUCCCCCCAACAAAAAAAAAAGCUGAAUAUCAACCUGAAUUUGCAAACUGUUUUGAUCAACCUGAAGCUGCAUAUUUAAGAGGCCUGCGUAAAUAAAGAAGAGCCAGAGUAUGGAUAAAUCUCGCACUCCAAAGGUGCUGCAGGAAACAAUCCCCUGUGGCCUGGAUCUACAGCAGAGGAAAUGCAGGAUGGAGAACUCCAUUCCAUUUUUUGUUCCUUGUCUUCUUUUCAUAUGCAAUGAAUGUACACCGAAGGAUGACCACGCAGUCUGUUCUUAACUCUACAAGUGCCCUGAUGAACCAUUCCUACCGUAGCCUGGUGGUACUCGCCAACAGAUGGCACCGGCCUGAAAACCUCAGGCAGAAGUUCACUAGGAGCCUCUCUCAAGAGAUACAGUAGAAGUUGGAGCUGCUUCCUUCUGCCACGGAUCCAUAGAGAAGGAAACACUAUAACACCCUGGGACAUCUCAUGUUUCGUAGUUAGUUUCUUCCCUUCUCCUUUCCCUUGUUCUGGAAAGAGCCUAAAUCCCUUAACACAACCUCAAGUCUUCCCUGCCUGUAUAGAACUAGGUAAGGGCUAUUUUUAUUUGAGUUGUUUAGGCUCCUUGCACACCCUCCACUUUUUUUUUAAGUUAUAGAUGAGAGGUCUUCCCCUUCUUCCCCUCACCCAGGACUCUCUUCCCCUGCUCUGCUCUUUAUCAGUUAUUCACUCCUUAGUAGUAAGAACUCGUCCUGAUUUCAGUGUUCUGUGACUUAAAUGCUAUAAGUGCUAAACAGCUAAAAAACUAGUACAAGCACCAAAUCUUUACUCAGCACAGAGCUUACCCCAUUUCCACAUGCCAAGCCAUUCUCAGAGCAGCUGUAGCUUACUCUGGGUUUGCCCAUCCACAUUAAAUUAACACUGGUGUAACUGUAUGCACAACUGAUACCUGCUGCAGGACCCUGGAAAACCCCCCUAAUUCCUCCUGGAUCACAUUUUUGUUCCUGCUUUGUUCACCACACAGCCACGCUUCGGGCACAGGCCCAACAGCUUCCUGCUGGAAGGUAUUUCUGUGAUAGGAUAAUUUUGAGGGGAGGGAACAGGGACAAGGAAAGGGGCAAUAUAACUGUAAUUAAGUUGCAUUAAUGAGUUGCAGCAACUAAAAAACAUGUCAGUUUUGUUAACUAAAUCUCCCAGCAUGUUAAGUGUCAAGCAGAGAGAGUGCUUGUCCAGCCAUUCAUGGCAUUCUUUGGCUGGUACAUUCCACAUGCUGUUGUAAUUCUUUGUCUUGCCUAGUCUAAGGUUCCUUGGGAUUUCUGAACAAUGCUUCACAGAAGAGUCAAGCCAGAAGCCAUGCUAGGGAAGGGAAGUGUGACGGGAGGAUGAAAAGAAAUAAAAACAUUAAGUGCUAAAGUCA